This is a long non-coding RNA of Saccostrea cuccullata (small rock oyster), 303 nucleotides long. RefSeq lists it as uncharacterized. The transcript is spliced from 3 exons. Lineage: Eukaryota; Metazoa; Mollusca; Bivalvia; Ostreida; Ostreidae. The record is from RefSeq and is a predicted model, not a curated record.
ACGAAACUAAUAAGGAAGACACUUUGCACCCAGAUGUUUCAAAGAAUCUACUUGACUGGCAUGAGGGUCGUCGAGUGGUUGAACUUGGUGUGCUAGCAGCCCAGCUACAGAAAGGAUGCAAGAAAUGUGGGACUGUAUUACAUCUAUGUGAUUGUUUUCAAGAGAGGCAUUAUGGCCUUGGAAGUAUUUUGUACAUAAAGUGUACUAUAUGCAGUUUUAUUUCAAACAUCCCCACUGGAAAGCGGCAUGAAAAAAAACAUUUGGGAUGUGAACACUAAGCUUGGUGCAGGUAAUUUCAGAAAA